Molecule: ribosomal RNA, 429 nt
Filed under: Acidobacteriota bacterium
Lineage: Bacteria; Pseudomonadati; Acidobacteriota
Description: Acidobacteria bacterium partial 16S ribosomal RNA
Rfam family: Bacterial small subunit ribosomal RNA
Source: RNAcentral
UGGGGAAUUUUGGACAAUGGGGGAAACCCUGAUCCAGCCAUCCCGCGUGUGCGAUGAAGGCCUUCGGGUUGUAAAGCACUUUUGGCAGGAAAGAAACGUCAUGGGUUAAUACCCCGUGAAACUGACGGUACCUGCAGAAUAAGCACCGGCUAACUACGUGCCAGCAGCCGCGGUAAUACGUAGGGUGCAAGCGUUAAUCGGAAUUACUGGGCGAAAAGCGUGCGCAGGCAGUUCGGAAAGAAAGAUGUGAAAUCCCAGAGCUCAACUUUGGAACUGCAUUUUUAACUACCGGGCUAGAGUGUGUCAGAGGGAGGUGGAAUUCCGCGUGUAGCAGUGAAAUGCGUAGAUAUGCGGAGGAACACCGAUGGCGAAGGCAGCCUCCUGGGAUAACACUGACGCUCAUGCACGAAAGCGUGGGGAGCAAACAGG